AAUGAAGGCGAUGACGUUUUCCUAUGCGAGUACGAGUAUGACAUACAUUGGCAUAGUUUCAAGCGGCUUGCAGAGAUU
This is a small nucleolar RNA of Camellia sinensis, 78 nucleotides long. RefSeq annotates it as small nucleolar RNA snoR28. The record is from RefSeq and is a predicted model, not a curated record. Lineage: Eukaryota; Viridiplantae; Streptophyta; Magnoliopsida; Ericales; Theaceae.